UACGUAGGGGGCUAGCGUUGCUCGGAAUCACUGGGCGUAAAGGGUGCGUAGGCGGGUCUUUAAGUCAGGGGUGAAAUCCUGGAGCUCAACUCCAGAACUGCCUUUGAUACUGAAGAUCUUGAGUUCGGGAGAGGUGAGUGGAACUGCGAGUGUAGAGGUGAAAUUCGUAGAUAUUCGCAAGAACACCAGUGGCGAAGGCGGCUCACUGGCCCGAUACUGACGCUGAGGUGCGAAAGCGUGGGGAGCAAACAGG
RNAcentral lists this ribosomal RNA (253 nucleotides) under uncultured bacterium. RNAcentral describes it as "partial 16S ribosomal RNA". It matches the Rfam family "Bacterial small subunit ribosomal RNA", at positions 524 to 776 of the family's 1533-position model. The record is from RNAcentral.